AGUGAACGUUGGCGGCGUGGAUUAGGCAUGCAAGUCGAGCGAGAACCGUAGCAAUACGGGGACAGCGGCGAAAGGGACAGUAAUGUGUAGGUACCUACCUCCGGGUUCGGGAUAGCUGCGGGAAACUGCAGGUAAUACCGAAUAACGUCUCCGGACCAAAGGUGUGAUUCCACCUGGAGAGGGGCCUGCAUCCUAUUAGCUUGUUGGCGGGGUAACGGCCCACCAAGGCGACGAUGGGUAGCGGGUGUGAGAGCACGACCCGCGUCAUUGGGACUGAGACACUGCCCAGCCACCUACGGGUGGCUGCAGUCGAGGAUCUUCGGCAAUGGGCGCAAGCCUGACCGAGCGACGCCGCGUGCGGGAUGAAGGCCUUCGGGUUGUAAACCGCUGUCGUAGAGGAGGAAGUGCAGGGGGGUUCUCCCCUCUGUUUGACCUAUUCUAGGAGGAAGGACGGGCUAAGUUCGUGCCAGCAGCCGCCGUAA
RNAcentral lists this ribosomal RNA (482 nucleotides) under uncultured bacterium. Its description in RNAcentral is "partial 16S ribosomal RNA". It matches the Rfam family "Bacterial small subunit ribosomal RNA", at positions 28 to 523 of the family's 1533-position model. The record is from RNAcentral.